CACGCCUGAGGAGGAGAAGAGAGAAGACUUUUAGAAAAGCAAAAGGAAAGAUCUCUAAGAAAACAGAGACCGAAACAAAAGCCCUCUUGAUGCUCAUGCAGUGAAUAGAAGACGUGGAAACAGAAAGAAAGAGAAAGUCUCAUUUCUGGAUGCUAGAAGCUGGAGGUAAGCAUUCUGAAUUCCCAAACCCAUUUCAUUUUCAUCCUUGGAGUAGCUGUGCUUAGAUGCAGCUGUGGAGUAACGGCCACACGAGGCCUGAUGUUUGAUGAUGUUGUGUGGCUGGAUCUUGCUUUGCCGUUGUUAUUCAGACUGCUGUGGCCGGGGGGCUGGGAGGGAGCUCCCUGGCCCUGGCUUCCUCCCCCACUGACAGACCCCUUUUGCUGACUUUUCAUGUUCCAUGGAAGCUACACUGCAAAGGUGUAAUGGGUGGCACAUCUGUAGGGAGCACAGCAUAGCAAUUACUAGGAUUCCACAUAUCAUGGAGAAUUCCAAAGUGGUGCAUGGAAUAAAAUCCACAAAAUGCCAAUAAAACAUCAUAACGCAUUGACUCGAAUGCGUGAUGAGAGAGGCAUCAUGGAAAGCCUGUGUGAACCAAGUCUUAAGUAAGUGCCAAACACUUUGCAGUGCACAUGCCUAUCUAAUAUCAUUAUAGACAUGUGUGAGAUUCUUUAGAUGUGAUUUCUCCAUUGCAGGGGGUUAAACUAGACUCUACAGUUCUAUGAGAUUGCACUGUAAGUAAAUGCUAAAACAUAGAACAUGAUGGGUUUAGUAUGUAUUUGCUUUUCAGGCUCUUCUCCUUAGCUACCACAACAAGAAGCACAUUUCUGGUAGCAGGCCUGUUAGUGAUCAUUGCCACAGCGGCACAAUUCUCUCCCAUAGGUUUUGGAGUUGAGAAAUGAGCUGCCUUGAUUUGCCUCCAUUAGUUGGCUUUGACCAGAGAUCCCAUUGGGGAAAGUGCUUCUGCCAUAGGCAGCUUGGCCCCGUAUGCCUGAAGGAGCGUUUCCACACCCAUCGUUCAGCCCAGACACUAAGGUCCAGCUCCGAGGGCCUCCUGGCGGUUCCCUCCCUGCGAGAAGUGAAGUUACAGGGAACCAGGCAGAGGGCCUUCUCAGUAGUGGCGCCUGCCCUGUGGAACACCCUCCCAUCAGAUGUCAAGGAGAUAGAUUAUACAACUUUAGAAGACAUCUGAAGGCACCCCUGUAUUGGGAAGUUUUUAAAAAAUAAAUAAAUGAUUUUUUAAAAAUACAUAAAAUACAAUAAGAAUCAAAUUAUUCUACAGAACAAGAAUAUUAAAAAAAAAGAGAGAGAAAAAAGUAAGGAGAGGAAAAAAAAGGGGGGGGGAAUAUCUAUAUGUCCCUUUACCAUACAGUCGUACCUUGGAUUCCGAAUGCCUUUCGAGUCGAAUGUUUUGGCUCCCGAAUGACACAAACCCGGAAGUCAGUGUUCCGGAUUGCGAACAUUCUUUGGAACCUGACCAUCCGGUGAGGCUUCCGUGGCUUCUGAUUGGCUGCAGGAGCUUCCUGCAGCCAAUUGGAAGCCACGCCUUGGUCUCCAAAUGUUUUGGAAGUUGAACAGAGUUCUAGAACGGAUUCCAUUCGACAUCCGAGGUACCACUGUAUUUAUAUCAUAUUUAUCCACAUGCAGAGAAGAAGAGCCUCCCAUCUGCCAGCUUUUAAAAGACACCUGAAGGCAGCCCUGUCUAGGGAUGUUUUAAAUAUUUGAUGCUUUAUUAUGCAUUAAUAUUUUGCUGGAAGCCUCCCAGUGGCUGGGGCAACUCAGUCAGAUGGGUGGAUGAUGAUGAGGCUUUUUAGACAAGUGGUCCAUUGGUCCAUUUAGCUUGGUGUAUGAUCCCAGCCUAAUACCUGCUUGGAGGUGGCAUCUGGAACCAUCACCACGGGAAGAAGUUACCCUCAGCCUUCCUUCCUGCCAGCUUUUCACCAGCCUGAAGGAAGGAGUUUCUGCUUUUCAGGGACAGUUGAAGUAUGUCAGGAAGAGAAGACAAGGAGAUCCUGGAGGAACCAGUCAGCAAGGGGAAGGCAUGCAGUCAGGGCUGGUGUCAGAUGAAGGCACUGUUGGGCACCUGCCAGCAGAGUGGAGGAAGGGCCAUAGCCCAGUGCUUUGUAUACAAAAGGCAGGUGCUGCCUGUCAGUGUAGACAAUACUAAGCUAGAUGGUCAGACCUAUGUAUAAGGCCAUUCCCUAUGUCCCCCUAAUUUUUUUAUGAGGUUCUUCUAAUUCUCUCUUGGUCUUUUCUUUCUCGCUGACCUGGAUUAUCCCAAGAAGUUGCUCCUAUGGGGAACCUCGUAUCACCUCUGCAUUCUUCCGACUCUCUUCUACAAGGAAAUAUUCGACUUCCAGCUGUCGUCUGCAUUCCCUGGAAUUACGGUCAGUAUGGUUUCCCCAGUCAUUUGGAAAGAUAUUGUUUAGCUUUGGUGAAGUAGAACUGGGAAAGAAUAAUAAUUAUUACUGGUGCACUUUUACAGUGAAUCUUGCCACCCUUAUACAACAGAGGAGUGAGUUUUCUUAAUUUUAAAAGAAAUAUUAAAUUGAGUAGCAGUUCACACAAAAUAGGCAGAAGAGGGAAUGAUUCUCCAUGGUGUAUGUGUGUGUGUGUGUGUGUGUGUGUGUGUACGUGCAAAAAUACAUGUGUGGAAUUAAUUAUUUAAUCUUAGAAUUACUGUUAGUUCUUCCUUACAAUAAUGAACACAUUAAAAACUAAGAAAUCCUAGAAUAUUUUGUAGUGCAGGGAUUUGAACGCUGUCCUUCCUGCCCCUUGAUUUAGAUUCCAAAUUCCUAAAUUCCUUCCCCAUUAUAUGCCCAUUCAACGGCUUCAAUCUGCAGAACUGGCAGUGAUACAGAUGACACAUAAUACCAAUUCCACAUUUGUAAGAACAGUUUUGUUUAGACAAGCCCACUCAGAUAAUAUAGGAUGCUUGAAUCUGUUUUUAGUUUAUCAGUGUUUUUAAUUUUUUAGACGUUUUAAAUAGUUGUCUUUAACUGUUUUUACUGUUAAUUUUAUUGUCUUAUUCUUUUUGUGAACUGCUUUGAGGUGCCACCAAAAUCUGUUUGGAUCAGCUUUUCCCCCUCCAGAGAUUUUGGACCACAACUCCCAUCAACCCCCAGCCAACAUGGUUGUGCUGGUUGGAACCAUGGGGCAACAUGGCUGUGCUGCAAGAGGCUGAUGGGAGUUGCAGUCCAAAGCAUCUGGAGGGCAUAGGUUGUGGGGAGGAGGCUAAGCUAGUGGAUGUAGGCACACAGAAGUGAAAUUUUAGAUGAUAAACUCCAUCCUCAGGACUGGGGGGCGGGGAAUCACGCCAGGAUCAGAGGUUGCAACAAGUGGUCUUUCCUCUCCCGCCUCCUGCAAAAGGCCUUGUGUCUCUUUCUAAAGCUGUUGUCCCAAGCAUGUUUUAGGGAGGGGAAAAACACUACUGAAAACAGUGGGGUGCUUGCAGUGGACAUUUGGCUAGGAUUGGAGCGGGUAGCGGUGGUGGGUGUAGUAAAUCCAAUGCAGGAGUCGAUCUGGGGUUGCACAUCAGAGGCUGUUGCAUGAUUCAUAACACAGUCCACAGUUUGCUGAUGCUCAAGAGUCAGAGGUCGAAGUGCCUUUGCUUCAGAUGGGAGGAGCUCUUUAUGCUAAAGACCCCAGCUGAACCCCAACCGAAGAGGCAGUGCAGGCCGGGGUAAAGGUGAAGGUACCCCUGACCAUUAGGUUCAGUCAUGGAUGACUCUGGGGUUGCGCGCUCAUCUCGCUCUAUAGGUCCGCAGACAGUUUUUCCAGGUCAUGUGGCCAGCAUGACUAAGCUGCUUCUGGCGAACCAGAGCAGCACAUGGAAACACCGUUUACCUUCCCGCUGGAGCAGUACCUAUUUAUCUGCUUGCACUUUGAUGUGCUUUCGAACUGCUAGGUUGGCAGAAGCUGGGACCAAACAACAGGAGCUCACCCCGUCGUGGGGAUUCGAACUGCCGACCUUCUGAUCGGCAAGUCCGAGGCUCUGUGGUUUAGACCACAGCACCACCUCUCAGCAAAAUUCGAGGGGCAAAAUUUCCAGGAUCAUCAGGAAAAGCUCCCAAGACAGGGGUGGGGAACAGGGUCUGAAUGCGGCCCUCCAGGCCUCUCCGUCUGGCCCCUGGAACUCUCCCUAGACCACACUCCUUGCUGUUCCCAUUGCAUACAAUUUUUGGGUGCUUCUACCUGGCUGGAAUGUGUUUCCGAGCUGUGAUGAUGUUUGCUUGCCUGAAUGGACAGUAGAGGAGUGUGUGUAGAAACCUCUGGCUUUUGCAUGACUGGGAUGGAGCCUUCUGCACAAAAGACAAGAAUCUCAUCUCUUGCUCUGCCCAUGUUUGCUUCUAGAAGGUUGCCUGCAAAGGACCAGGGGUUCCCCAACCCCUAUCCUAAAUGAAGCCUGGCUUCCCCCACCCCACUCACAUGCACACUUGGGACAUCAGGGUCUGAGCAAUGAUAUGAGUCUCUCUCAGGUUUCCCUGAUGGUGCCCCUCUUCCAGAUUGCUUCAUGCAAUGAAAACUAAGGGCUGUCCACAUCUUGGCUUAAUGUGGAUUGUGAGCCCUUGUGCCUCUUUUAAAUGCCCCUCCUCCAUGGAGGUGUUUUCCUCCAAGUACUGCUGUGCCACACUUUCUCCUCCCUAGAGUCAGAGAUUCCCCAUACUUUGGAGAUCUGAACCGGAGAGCAACUUCAACUGUUCAGGGAAUAGGAGGGGAAAGGGCAGCAGUGGGGGGGAAACCUUCAAAGAGGAAACACAAAAUCUCCCCUGAAAAGGAGAUAUGAAUAAUUUCUCCCUUGGGCGGCAGAAUAAUUUGAGUCCUCCUGUUCCAGAGCCCGUGCUGCUCCUGGAUUCAGCAGGCAGUGGCAAGAUGACCAGGUGCCCAACUUGGGCUGCACUAGGCUGGCAUAUGCCCCAACUGUCCCUGCUAACCUGAGGCUGUUCCUCUUCUGUGGUCCCUGCCCCUGGUAAAUAGUGCCCCAAUCAUGUCUCAGUUUGGCCCUUUGGGGAGAUUUGGGACUGGAAAGUACCUUUCAUUAGGAGUUGCUGUUCUUGAGGUUCAGCCCAUCACCCCUCCUCUCUAAAAGGGGGGGGGACACAAACACGCACCUACACCUAUCUAGAUAGUAAAUGUUGCUGCGUAUUUUCAACUUGCAGCUGCUGUAGAAUGACCGCCUUCAAGAUGCAUUGCAAGAGCGGUUCCAGAAAAGCAGCCAUCUUAAUCUCUUGAGACAAUGCAAAAGAAAAGUGACCAGUCGUACUCGGAAGCUGAUGCUGUAGUAAAUUUGUCAGCCUCCAAGGGGCCACAAGACCCUCUGUUGCUGUGGCAAGACAAACCAAUUCUUCCUUUUAAGAGUGCAAUUAUAGUUAAGCUUACUAGCACCAUGUUCAAGGCUAGGAAGUGAAAUAGGGAGUGGGUAGCAUUCCUUGCGCAAGGACAGUGUUUCCAGUUUCAUCUCUGAAAUGCUGGCGGUGGGGAGUGAGUUUUGCAGUGGAGGGAUUCUGAAAUAACAGGGAACAAAGGCAAAGAACAGGGAAGUUUGGUGUUAGCCCUCUGUCCUCGGUGCUGAAUCUAUUUCCUUAAAGCAAUAUGCCUCUGAAUUCUGGUUGGUGGGAACCACAAGUGGGAGAGCAUCAUAGCUCUCAGGUCCUCCUUGCAGGCCUCCCAUUGGGGCAGCUGGUUGGCGAUUGUAGAAACAGGAUGCUGCACUAGAUUGACGUCCUUUGGCCUGAUCCAGCAGGGCUUUUAAAGCAGUGGUUGGAUGGCCGUCUGUCAUGUAUGCUGUAGUUGAGAUUCCUACCUUGCAGUGGGUAGGACUAGAUGACCCACAGGGUACCUUCCAACUCUGCCAUUCUAUGAUUCUAUUAUUCUUGCAAGUAACAGUGAGAGAGGGCCCUUGGUUCCAUGCCCUGCCUAUGGGCUUCCUGGAGAAAUCUGAUUGGCCACUGUAAGAAUAGGAUGCUGGGCGAGAUGGGCUUCUCGUCUGAUCCAGCAGCCUGGCUCUUAUGUCCUGAUAAGCUAUCAGAAGAGUGCAUUUGUUUUGUAAACAUUGCCAGUGCUUCUCCCCCAAAUUCUAAGUAAGGGACCCCAAAUCUGGUCAAUGAGAGGAAUGAAGCAAGGUGAGCAAAAUCACACAGAGUUUAUUCUGCUUCCCAGAUCCAGGUUUUCAAAUGAUUUGGGGGGUAAUACAAGCAUGGGAAUUUGGAAGAGAGGCAGACAACUCCCCACCCAGCUUCAGCUGCAAAGUCGGUCAGUUUGGUGAUGAAAAGUUGGCUCAGAAGCCCACUUUGCAAGGGGGAAAAAUAUAGAGACAGUCCCAGACAAAGCAUGAGAUGGUUUGUCUCCAAGAGAGUUCUGUAGCCUUAGAAGGAGAGGCCCUUUCUCUGCACAAGGUAUGGAUAAUGUAGUUUUCACUUCUUGUCUUACGUCACACAAGUUGAUGAUCCAUAUGCCACCCCUCAUAAAAGAGUCUGUGGGAGUCAACAUAUACAGUGGUACCUCUAGAUACGAACGGGAUCCGUUCCGGAGCCCCGUUCGCAUCUAGAAGCAAACGUAACUAGUGACAGCACGUCUGCGCAUGCACGCGUCGCUUUUCGCCGCUUCUGCGCAUGCGCGUGACAUCAUUUUGAGCAUCUGCGCAUGCGCAAGCGGCAAAACCCAGAAGUAAUGCGCUCCGUUACUUCCAGGUUGCCACAGAACGCAACUUGAACGCACUCAACUUGAAGCGUAUUCAACCCGAGGUAUGACUAUUUUUAGAUUUUCCAGGUCUGGGCUUUGACUUGGAGACCAUGCUCAGGACUUCAAGAGGGAAACUUGAGAGUUGCCUCCAAGUUUCAAGAGAGCAGAUGUGGCACACGUGGAAAUAAUUGAUGUUUUGAUCAGGACUGCGUUGGCAUUGGGAGCUGGUUUGAGCAUUCCAAUGGCCAGAGCUCAGCACUACCCACUUUGGAGUUAUUCAUCAUGACUCUAGCAGGCAGCGUUCAAAAUGUACAGGCCAGGCCUUGUGGAGUUAGUUUGGGGUACCCAAACACUAAUCUUUCAUCUAUUACUGGGAAAGCUGCGUCUUCAGAAAGCUCAAGUGAUCCGAUUUUUCUCACUAGGAAAAUGCAGUGUAUUUCCACAAUGAAACACAGAAAGCAACUGCAUGUUCUGAAGGCACUGACUGGACUUGAGGUUAAGCCCUCCAAUUGUUUUUGGACUCUAAGUACCUUGAAGACAUCCUUGGACAAACAAGCUUGUGUGUGUGUGUGUGUGUGUGUGUGUGUGUGUGUGUGUUUGCACGUGUGCCAGUAUGAGGCACAAACAUAGCUUAGAAGAGGGGAGAGCUUGCAGGCAAUGCAGGGAUUUUAGGAUUGCUGUCGCACGAUCCCAUUUCAUUGCCCUGAUCAGCAGCUGGGCAGCUGCAUUUUGCACUCACUGCAACCUCUGGGCCAUUUUCAAGCAGAGACACAUUGCAGUAGUCCAGCUGUGAGGGUUGCCAGCCAGGGCAUGGAUCACUGAGGCUAGGCAACCCCCACCCCCUGUGUUGCAUAGUAAGCUCUGCUCUAGUUAUAUUUGACCUGCCUGUGCAGAGAACGGGUAGGAGGAGAACAAUGUGACCCCAGUUUCAGAGCUGAGGGGAAUUAAGGCACUGAAUCACCUGGUGCAAUGGUGGCUUAGUGGUCUAAGCACUGGCUUUGGGCAUUCCUGCAUUCCUUAGACCCGUCAACUGAAAUUCUUCUGGAUCUGCUGCCUCUCUUUAAAUUUUAAGCCCAUGAGAUCAGCCCCAGCACACAAGGGCAACAGAGCAGCUUUGGAUGUUAUGUGAAAGACCACCAGUUGGACGUGUGAGCAACUCCCAGCAACUGGUAUUUCAAGGUAUCCUGUUUCCAACAGGGGAGGGUAGGAUAGUCAUUGUGACUUUCCAAGUUGGCCAAAGGUUGAUGUGAUGUGCUUCAGGAUGACGUGCCAAGUGGAGAAGAGGCCCUUGGCCAGCCCACCCUCUGUGGAUUUAGGGUUAGCUUUUGAUGAACACGGAGCUGAGAAAUGUAAUCAACUAUAGUUUUAGUUGAUUAUUUGAGAUUAUUGAUUAUUUGAGUCAAUUUUUCAGAAACUAGGUCAGCAUUAGUAGCUUGUAUUGGAGCAAGCUCCAAGGACAGGACGUUCUGGGAUCUGCAUGGCAUUGAAUGGAAAUGCUUUUCUCAACAUUUGAGGGGUGGGGGAUAUUUUGUGUGCGCGGUGUGAGUUAAGAGCAGGUAUAUUUAUUUUUGGUUGGACAGUGUUGUCGAAGCUACAAACAUGAGUCUGACCAAACUGCGGGAGGCAGUGGAAGACAGGAGUGCCUGGCGUGCUCUGGACCAUGGGGUCACGAAGAGUCGGACACGACUAAACGACUAAACAACAACAACAUAUUUAUUUAUCUGAAACUAGUUUCCCCCCUCUUCUCCUUUUGGCUCUAGAAAUGUGGGAGGGGAAAAUAAAAAUCUGGGCAGCCAGCUGCCUGAAUUCAUGUCCCUUUGUAUAUCAUCAGCAAAGAUGAUUCAUUGUGGAUCCUACAUCAGUUAAAUCACACAUGUGCAGUUAAGAAGAGGUGAAGCAGUCUUCCGCAACCUUUUUUCUUCCAGAUGUUUUGAACUUCUACUCCCAUCAGCCCCUGGGGCUGUGCUUUCAACAACCCCGGCAUCUUGGUGGCUUGGGCUGAUGGGAAUUGUGGUGCAAAAUAUCUGGGAGGAACCAGAUUAGGAAAGGCUGGUGUAGUGGCAUGGCUGCAAGUGGAGUCUACUACAGUUCGGUUGUUUUCACACAUUCAAGGCCCCAGACGGACAUGUGUGAGAUUUAUUCCCGGAAGAGGUAGAGAAGGCCACCAAUUUAGAUGGCUUUGCAAGCAGGUUAGACAAAUUCAUGGAGGGAUGCCAUGAUGGCUAUAUGCUCCCUCAACUGCUGAUAUUCAGAGGCUUACCACCCCCAACUUCAGGGAGGAAGCGCAAGUGGGGAGCAGGCUCUUAAGCUCAGGUCCUGCUUGGGGGCUCCCCAUUGGGGCAGCUGGCUGGCCACUGUGAGAGCAGGAUACUGGGUCCCCUUUGGCCUGAUCCAGUAGCCAGGCUCUUCUGAUGUUCCUACACUCAAAUUUGACCUUGUGACCUGCCUGAGGCAUCAUCCUGAUUCAUUAUGGCCGUCUCAGCCUGAAGUGGCAAAUAUUGUGGCUUUGGGCGAUCUUAGAGAUACAGUUCUGCUGCCAGAGAUGUCGCCCUGAUUACGCCCUGGCUGUUAUUAGAUGUGAUGUUGGCAGAGCACCUGACAUUGGCCUGGGGGUGUUUUCUGGGGGCCUUAAGCCUGCCUGGAUCCUCCUGGUGAUGAAAAUUCAAGUUGUAGCAUGUCCAGAAACCAUGACUCAGCAGCAUCCCCAGAUCACCCACAAAACUGCAUUUGUUCAGCUUGUAAAGCAAGCAGUUGCAAACAAUAUUUGUUUGCAGAGGGGUAGGAAAUAAGGUGGCUUGUGGAAGCAACUGUUCCAUUGGAAUUCGGGGAGGAGGGGAAGGAACAUUAAAUCAGUUGCUGGCCUCUGAAUCCAGAGAUUUCUAUGAAUCUCAAGCUUAAUUUUUCUCUGCCAUACAAAAGCACAUAUGAAAUUACAUGUAGAAUAAUGCAUAAUAUAGCCUUAUCUAUAGUCUGAAGUACUUCUGGAGUGAUAAAGAAUAUGAUAUAUUGGAUUUUAUGUUAAGUUUAGUGAGAUCCUGAGGGCAGCAGGAUAAGACAGGUCAGAUAUUUUGUAUAAUUUAUUAUUAUUACUUUUAUAGCCCAACCUUCACCAAAUGGUUCCGGGGGGGGGGUGUUUCAAACAGUCCCCCCCCCCAGCUUAUUUCAUUGAUUUUUCACAAAAAAAGCAUUAAAUUGUUGUCCAGUAUCAUAACUUGCGUUACCUAAACAAUACAAGAGUGCCCUUAUUUGGGCUUUGGACAAAUCAGUUACUUAAAUAACCUUUCCAAAUAUUUUUCUGAGUAGUGGGCAAUGGGAACUCGCUUUCAUAGUCAAUGAUGUAAGAAAUUAAUGGAUGCUACUCCAUGCCAAACUUGUCUCUUUUGGAAGUUCCUUGUAGAACCCUUCUGUGGCAGGUGAAACUUUCUGAUAAGGCCACAUCCCACAUAACAUUAAACAGGGCUGUUCUUAAACAGAGGUACCACUGUAGUUCUUUAUGACCCUUAGCACUACUUGAGCUAAGGUCCAGGGCAGGGAAUGCAAGUUCUGGGUUAGGCUGCAAGGAUUGCUUAGGGACAAUAGAAAUAACCGUGAAAACAGGCUUCCCAUGGACAGGGAAGGAUGGAGGAGCUAGGAGAGCCUGCUCAUGCCUUUACUUGGACAACUGUCUUGCCAGAUAGACCAGUUGGGUCCCCAAAUAUCUGGGGAUGCUGCCACCACACACCCUAUUAACCCUUAAAGCCCCCAGGCUGGGUGAAUUCUGGGAGAUGGUCUUCUGCCCCCUCCAGAGCCAGUGUGGUGCAGUGGUUAGAGUGUCAGAUUAGGACCUGGGAGAUGAGGGUUCAAAUCCCCACUUGGCCAUGAAGUUCACAGGGUGACCUUGGGCCGGCCACAGCCUCUCAGCCUAAUAUACCCUCAUUGGGUCAUUGUGAGGAUACAUUGGAGCUGGGGAGAGAAUUUUGUACAUCAGGCAUAGGCCAACUUGGCCCUUCAGAUGUUUUUGAGACUACAAUUCCCAUCAUCCCUGACCACUGGUCCUGUUAGCUAGGGAUGAUGGGAGUUGUAGUCCCAAAACAUCUGGAGGGCUGAGUUUGCCUAUGCCUGUUGUACAUCAUCUCAGGCUCCUCGGAGGGAAAGUGGAGCAUAAGUUAUUGUUGUUAUCAUUGCUUUUAUCUCCAGUAAUGCCCACAUUGAAAGGUCUUCCUGCUUGUGGUGAUAUCAGCGAGGGGCUGGCAGAAAGGCCCCCUUCUUCCCCUUGUCUUCUCCAGCUAGCCGCUGGCCUCUCUCGGAAGUGUGUGGGUGUGCUUGGCUCAUUGAGCUGAAGCACUUGCAUCUGGAAAACCUUGAAAGACGCUUUUGUUGAGACUGCAGGGUUUGGAGAAAGACGUGUGGAUUGCGCUUUGCUAAGGAGCGUGGGUCUUGGGUAAACGCAGCGACUCUCCUCCAUCUCAGCAUUCUGCCUUCGGGAAUGUUAUUGUCUUUUCGCUCUCCCUCCCUUGCUUUCCAAGAGGGCGAUUUAAACAUUACGUUUCUUUUCUAUUUCUUUUCUCCUCUUUCUUGGUGUGACUCUGCAGACUGAUUUCUGCAGAAGUUAAAUUUUAAAACAGCACCGACAACAACAACAACAACCAGGCUAAGUGUAUUAAUUGAGAAGUGGACUCUUUUCCACGUGUCUGAAAUCUUAAAGCUCCGGGGAAACACCUUUUCUUUGUUGUAAAAUGCCCUGUGUUUAUUGAAAAGUGUGCAUAAUAUGAAGUGCAAACUUUAGAAACAGCAAAAGGGCAAAAGCAGCAGCCAUGCAGCAGAACAAUGAAAACCAUAACAUGCAUGGAAUGAAAAUAUUAAAAGUCCUUGCCACCCAAAUGACAACAGGCAAGCACUGCUGGAGAGUCACAGACUUGGACUAGUUAACCGUGAAGGACAACUAGUCCAAACUCCGCUUUCUCAAGAGACACCCCACGCAGCCUCAGCUUAGAGGCCUCCAGCCAGCAAGAGCCUGCCCAGCCCACCCCCUCUGGCUGGGGGGCAGCAUGGGUGUCCGGGCUCCAAUUGUCUUCUGUCUUCCAAAACUACAAGGCCGUGGUGCUUAUCAAGAGGCAGGGGUGCCAACUUGAAUAAAAUAUUGUGGGAGGGGGCAGGCAAGCCCCACCCUGCAUAAUUGAUCACAUGGUGUGGAGCACGCACAAAAUUUGAAUGACAAUGCUCAUCAACUUUUUUGUGGGGUGGGCCCCAUCAAAUAUUUUAUGGGAGGGGGGCAAAGAUCCCUUGGCCCCUAGGAGUUGGCUUCUAUGUCAAGAGGGGAGAGCUGAAGGGGUGCCUAAACAGGAAUAUUUUUAGCAGGUCCUGAAAAGAGUACAGUGAAGGGCGCCAGCUUGAUCUCAAAAGGCAGGGAGUUCCAAAUUUAGGCACUGCCACACUAAACGACUGAGUUCGUAUUUAUUUAUUUAUUUAUUUAUUUAUUUAAAUUCUAUACCACCCUAUACCCGAAGGUCUUACCAAUGCGGAAUGAGUACAGUGGUAUCUCGGGUUAAGGACUUAAUUCGUUCUGGAGGUCCGUUCUUAACCUGAAACUGUUCUUAACCUGAGGUACCACUUUAGCUAAUGGGGCCUCCCGCUGCCGCCGCGCAAUUUCUGUUCUCAUCCUGAGGUAAAGUUCUUAACCCGAGGUACUACUUCCGGGUUAGCGGAGUCUGUAACCUGAAGCGUCUGUAACCCAAGGUACCACUGUAUUAUGUGGCACCUGUAGUGGUGCCAGUUUCACAGAUCAAAGUGGUCGAGCGGAAACAUGUAGGGGAAUGUACAGAGUGGAGUCUGAUUGGCUGGUUUCGUUCCCUUACGCCUGAAGGCAUUGUGAAACCAUCACUGUCUCACAGUGGAACCCUGUUUGUGGGUAUUCAGAUGUAUGUUCCACUGUAUUUGAUGGGGCUUACUCCCAAGUCCAUGUUCAUAGGCACGUGACCCAACUUUCUAUGUGGCAUCAGAUUGGCUGCGUAGACCUGCACAAUCUUAUUUGCAGAAGUCGUUGCCAAAAACGGGAGGGGGGAAAUAAACAUUUCAAAGAGGGAUUGCAAUUUAUUGGGGAUACUUUUAGCUUGAGCUCCAUCCUAAGAUUUCAGGGUGGGGGUGCAACAGUUUUAAAGCCGACAACUGCAAUUAAAAGAGCAGGUUGAAAAAGCUGCAAAUAGUUAAAAUUGCAAUAAACAAAAAUAAAAAUAAAAAGCCAUUUGAGCCACCACCUCUGUAGGAGUAGCAUGCUGGCAUCUCACAAAACCUCUUGCAAAUAGUUAGGUCUUUACUGUUACUUUCCUGCAACGGUUGUCUGUGCUGCGCAACCCCAGUUGGAAUACAGUUUUGGUAUUGUUGAGCUGGGAAAGGUUCAGAAAAGGGCAACCAAAUUGAUCAAGGGGAUGGAGUGACUCCUAUGAGGAAAGAUGACAACACCUGCAGCUUAUUCGAUUAGGGGGAAGAAAGGUGAAUAACAUGACAGUGGUGUGUAAAAGUGUUCCCCACCAUCUCUCAUAGUGGGGGGGGGGGGGGCUUUGAAUCUGCCAUUUUGGGUUUUUCCUGUUUUCUAAUCAGAAUUUCAGCUCUUCACUUUUCCGCAUCAGUUUGUCAAUAUUUUUUUUAAAGUCAUAUUGAAAAUUCAUGAGCGUUUUUGUGUGAAUUUUUUCUAAGAGACACAAGUUUGUGUGCAGUUUUGCCCUGUGCACACACUUUUGUAAAGACAUUUCCCUCAAUAUAAUGCAUGAUAUGUUAUAAUGUGUGUUGUUUACACCAACAUAUGCAUUUUUAUGCACAGCUUACCCCAGUAAGUGUGUUUUUGUACUGGAGAACUGCACUAUAUAAAAUUCAGAGAAGUGUAAAUUUCGAAGGAUGGCUGUUUUCUGGUUCUCUUUAUCAUUUAGGAAAGCAUGAAUUACGUGGGUUCGCCUUUAAAUGUGAACCAAAUUAACUUUCUCUCUCAUCCCUCCUCAUAUUAUCGUAAUCCAGCAGGAUCACCCAAUGAAGCUGAAUAUUGGGAGAUUCGGGGUAGACAAAACGAAGAACUUUUUAAGCACAGCACAUAGUUAAACUAUGGAAUUUGCUUCCUUUGGAUGUAGAGGGAGACACCAAUUUGGAAUAGUUUAGAGGAGGUUCAGACAAAUUCAUAGAGGAUAAGGCUAUCAAUGACUAUUAGCUGCAGUGGCUGUGCUUACUACCCCCAGAAUAAGAGGGUGAUGUGUUUGUUUGUAUUUUAUAAUGACGUUUUUAAAUGUAGGAAUCCCAACUUGGGAGAAAGGUGGGAUAUAAAUACAUUAAAUGAACAAGCAAGCAAACAAAUAUACAAAUUAAUAAAACGAAACUAGUUGGAAAAAACAGUUAAAAAAUCAAAACACAUCUAGAACAAGCAAUUAAAAGAGAGUUUGCCCUGGCAGCAGCCCAGUGGACAGCAUCUUUUGCCCCUUGGUUUCCAAAGGCCUUCAUAAAUGAAAAGGCAUUGGUCUGCCAACAGAAGGAUAACAAAGAAGGAACCCCACAAUAUGGGAGCAGCCACAGCCCCCCCCCAUAUCACUACCACCUGUUGCCCUUAGGAAGCUGGACUAGAUGGGCCUUUGGUCUUAGGAUUUUGGAGCAGCUUUUAAGCAAUUUGGUUUGCCCACUGGCAAAGAUUGGUCCAAAAAACGCUAGUCGACCAUUUCCACUUGGUGGUGGUUGCCUUUGCCAAUUUCCUGCUGAACAUCUCUUUGUCAUGGCGGGACUCACAUUCGAAUCAUCAAUAGCUAGGUAUAAAAUGGGCAUUGGAAGAACCAGCUGUAAUUUCAAGCACUUCAGGUAAACCUGCAGCAAAGAGCUAUUGUUAAACUCAAAAGCUCGUCCCACAGGGAGGCAGUGAUGGUCACCAUUCUGAUAUAUGGUUCUUGCAGAUUUCAUCUCAGUGCCCCUAAAGGAGACAUGAUGUAAAGAGCAGAAGUGGGGGGAGAGAGCGAGAGAGCGCAAGGGAGCUUGGGAACCUGGAAGAAUGAGGGCACUCAUUCGUCAAUUUGUUAAUACCUAAAGGAGCGUCUCCACCCCCAUCAUCCUGAGGUCCAGCGUCAAGUGCCUUCUGGCGGUUCCCUCACUGCGAGAAGUGAGGUUACAGGGAACCAGGCAGAGGGCCUUCUCUGUAGUGGCACCUGCCCUGUGGAACGCCCUCCCUGCAGAUGUCAAGGCAAUAAACAACGAUUUUACUUUUAAAAGACAACUGUUUAGGGAAGUUUUUAAUGUCUGACACUGUGUUGUUUUUAAUAUUCGGUUGGAAGCCACCCAGUGGCUGGGAAAACCCAGCCAGAUGGGUGGGGUAUAAAUAAUAAUAAUAAUAAUAAUAAUAAUAAUAAUAAUAAUAAUUCAAGGCCUUGGGAAAGGCAGACAAAUUCGUUGGAGGAGUGUGCUAUCAACAGCUACUCCCCAUGAUGGUUAUGCUCUGCCUCCAUGGCUGGAAGUAGCAAUGCUAGCUGCUAGAAGCCACAGACGGGGAGAGGGUUCAGGGCCUGCUUGUGGCUUUCCCAUCGGGGCAUCUGGUUGGCCCCUGUGAGAACAGGAUGCUGGACUAGAUGGGCCAUUGCCCUGAUCCAGCAAGCUCUUCUUAUGUUCUUAUUAUCCUGGAGUGGGAACAAUACAUACUUGCCUUUCCUUAUGGGCAGAAACAUUUGUGGCUACAUUUGCCACCCUACCCUCUGUUCAAGGGGACUCUUUAUUUGACGUAAAGAACUGUGGCUGGGUUAUUAGUUAUUUUUGUCCUCCUGGUGAGGAGGAUGAGAGACUGUGCCCCCCUACCCCCGCAAUUGGAAGAGGCUUGAAAUCCUCUCCAGGUGGCAAUGCUAUGCAGCCGCCAGUUUCCCAGCAAGAGCACAUCACUCAUUCAGUUGCACGGUCUUUAAAUCCACCCAGUGCACCAUUAAUCCAGGCAGUGCUGCUCAGGCCGUUUCUGGAAUCCUUAAUCCAGCAGGUGACUGGCGGGGAUAACGGAUUAGCGAUGGCGUUCCGUCCAAGGCUUCAUCCUGCCGGGCUCUUGAGCCCUCCAUGGGUCCUGGGCAGCUGCCUUCUCUACCAAAUGUGGAUGCCAGCCAUGAGAUGAAGAGCGGUGGCUAAAGCCAAGAUGAAAUUGCACAAGAUGUGCAGGGUAUAAACAGGGUGCUUUAUAUGAACAUGAGAAGAGGCCGCUGGAUCAAGCCAAGGGCCCAUCUAAUCCAGCCUCACAGUGGUCAACCAGGGGCCCCCAAGGGAAAAUCAGUGGUGGGAGCACACUGGGUGUGGAAUAAGCUGUCAUGUGAACACACCCUAAACCGUCUAAUCUGGUUAAAAAGAUUUUGAUCAAAUGAAAAGGUGGCCGCAGUGAACUAGGCAGCAGAUUUUAGAGUUGUUUUUUAAUGCAGCUAUUUGUAUUCUCGAAUGCCAUCUCAAGAAGCAUUCCUUUUGUGUUUGAGAGGAUGGGCAAUGCCUCUCAUCUACAGCAACUACCAGUUCAUAUCAGGCUGGAUCCUGGUGCUGAUGUUGAGUUGUAGUCCAAAACACCUGGAAGAGGAAGCAGGUUGGCUAAAGCAAGGACAUCUCAAGAGAUGGCUAGGAUCCUGGUCCACCUUAUCCCUGAUGCCUUGGGAAUUAGCCUAGAGGUUGUUGUGCCAGACCCUUCAUCAUUCCAAAGAAAAAUCAUAUUGCUUCCAAAAAGAUUGUCAAGCUCAGACGAGGGGAAAAAAUGUAGGAGAAGGACGGUAACAAAAUAGUGUCGCUCUAUGUAGAAUCAUAAAAUUGUAGAGUGGGAAAGGGACCCCAUGGAUCAACAAGUCCAACCCACCCCCUGCACAGUUAAAGAAUCACAGCUAAGGAAGCCCUGACAGAUCUCCUUCCAACCUCUGCUGAAAAACCUCCAGUGAAGAAGACUUCCCCACUUUGUGAGGUCAUCCAUUCCACUGUCAAACAGCUCUUGCCCUCAGAAAGUUCUUCCUAAUAUAUAGUCAGAGCCUCUUUUUUUAUCACUGGAAUCCAUCGGUUUCAGGUUCUGAAAACAAGUUUUCUCCAUCUUCCAUGUGACAGUCAUUUGGCUGCUUUUUUGAGGACCAUUGGCAUCUUGGGUUUUAAAUCAAUGGCGGGCAAGCAACUGCAGAACCCAUGAAAUCAGGCAGGGAGGCACAGAAAGAAUUGGGGGCGUCGAGGAUGGAAGGAAUCUGGUCUAAACACUGGAGUGUUCCAAACAGAUCCUGAUUUCCAUCUGCAGAGAUGUUGGAGGCCCUGAGACUCUAGCCUAGUUUAGACAGGACCAAUUAGGCCUCCCAUCACGAUUGUUUGGUUUGUGUGCAGAUUUUAACGGUUAAACUGACGCGGUCAAUGUUUGACCGCCAAGCCGUCGUGUCUUCUUUUGGUUGUGGCUACCAUUUGAAUUUGAGGCUUAAUUUUGCUUUGUCUCUCUCUCUCUCUCUCUUUCUCUCUGCAGAUGCAUUUUAAUUACAGAACUAGCCAAUCCCAGGCCAUCAUUUUGUUUUCCUUGCCACUGCCCGGGUCCGUUAUCAUAUUCCACCUAUGCGCUUGCGCAUGAGUCUCCCUUGGCAAAGCAGACUGCGGUGGGGAGGGGGGUAGAGAAAGAGGCGCUACCGCCUGCCUGGUGUGCCUUCCUAAUGACCAGUCUGUUCCAGAUUGGGAGUGGCAGGAGGAAGGGAGGGUACCUUGUGAGAGGCAAGCGGUGGUGGGAAUGGUUUGUUCAGGAUUUGGGGGGGAUUAGAUAAUUCAUCACAAGAGCAGCAGCAGCAGAACUCACGCCAAAGGCAGACACAAGCUCCUUUCACCACGAUCAUGGUGGAGAGCAAAGGCAUUAACCCCCCCUCUCAUUAGGCAUUCCAAGCCCAUCUCUUCUCCUUUUCUUUUAAUAGUUAAACCUGAUUUGCAUGCAUUUGCAUAAUGAACAUCAUUUGCAUUCCCGGUUUGUUGGCUACCUCUGUGGGAAAAGUCAAAGCGGGCGAUCUGGGGAGAGGGAUUUCAGCAAAGACAAAAGGGAAGAUUUCAGUUACCCCCCUUCGCUUGCUUCCCCCCCCAAACAGUGAAGAAUUUAACACACAACCAGUUCCCCCCUGCCUCUUUGUGGAAGACAGAGAGGCCUGUCAGGAUCAGUGUGUAUCCUAGCAUUUGUUACUGUCUCCCCCAACCACUUCCUGCAAUCCUUCAUCUCCUCCUGAGCUCUUUCCCCCUUCCUUUUGGUUCCUUCUGAGGGUGUGAGGUGAGAGACAACAAACUGUGUGUGAGAGAAAGAAAGGGAAAGAAAGAGAGAAAGAGAGCGAACGAACCACCAUUUUAGGUAGCUGGCAUCUAUAAAAUGGCGGAUCCCUCACAUAGGUCUUGAGCAACAUGACUGGUUAUGUGUCUCAGAUUUUGGUGGAUUUGCACAGUUCAGAACUUACCUCAUGAAUUGUCCAGUGUGGGCCCACAUAUGAGCAACACUACAUGCACCAACUCAAUCUGCUUUUAAAAAGAAGAUUAUUUUGGUGUGGGUUGUUGUGGCUGGACGGUUUCACAAAAUGACACAGGCACAUCCGAUUGUGUGAUUACCAGACAAAGUGACACAAGCUACUAGCCUGAGCAUUCUUGUCUAUUUGCUACACACACACACACACACACACACACACACACACACAUAUAUAUACACACUUUAUAUAUAUAUAUAUUCUUUUUUGAUGUUAGUCUGUAUGUUGCACCUCUUUCGAAAGCAGAGUAGUUCUAGGGGAAGUAGUGCUCAGUUGUUGCUCACCAGAGGAGCGUUUGAAGUUGCCUCAUGGACCUUUGGUCCAUAUCCCUCAGUACAACUUGACACUGACUGGCAGUGGCUCUCUUUGGACCUGCCUGGAGGUGCUAGGGAUUGAAUCUGGGACCUUCCGCGGGCAAAGUAGAUGUUCUACCAAUGAGCCCUGGUUUUCCCCCAGGUGUUUCUGAAAAACAGUAUUUUGUUAUGGGGUAUAAUGGAGUCUUCCUACAGACAAAAAACAAUAAUUAGUUUCUGAGUAGAAGAGGGCAUGUGCUCUCUCCUUCACCCCUAACUCACACAGGGGGAAUGGUUGAAAAGCAAGGCCUAUGAAAUUUCUAGUGAUGGGUGUGGUAACAUUUCUUCUCCCUUGAAAAAGUUUUGGGUCUUAUGCAGCUAAGUCCCACUCAGAACAGACCGACUAAAAUGGAUGGGCUUAAGGUAGUUAUGGUCCUUGAUUUCAGUGCGUCUGUUCUGAGUUAUUUAAAUGCAUUAUUAUUAUUAUUAUUAUUAUUAUUAUUAUUAGCACAUCUUAUCAUCAUUGUCAUAGUGCUCCAAGAAUGAGAUGUUGUGCCUCCUAAAAUUCAUUUUCCUACAUAAUUAUUUAGGGAAUUAUGUCUUCAUCCUUCUCAGCAUGUUGUUCCUAGUUUUAAUGACACAGUAGCACCAUGUAUCAUGUGGUUGAUGUGAAAGACUUUUGGGUGAUGAGGUUGACUAUCUCCAGAGCUCUUCUAUUCUUUUUCUCUCCCCCCCCACCCCUGACCUAUAUAAUCUGACAAUGACAAACCAAUGGAUCACCAUAAAGCCAAACAACAGCAAAAUUUUGAAAAGUUUAGGACUUCAGGGAAGCUAUCACUCCUUGAGAUCAAGUGAAGAAACAAGCCAGCCUAGGAUGUCCAUAAGCUUCCAAAUUCAGCAAUUCACCUGAGAACUGUCCUGUUGAAUCAGGUCAGUGAUGCAUCUCUGCAGCCAUUCUGGUUCUGGCAGUGGCCAGCCAGAUCCAUCUGGGAAGCCCACAAACAAGUCAUGAACAUGACUUCCUCUUCUUUCUUCCCAGCAGCUGUAAACUGGUGGUUCCAUUCAACUCUUGUGACUAGUACAGUAAAGGCAAGGACCAGCCACUUACAAAGCUACCCUAGAAGAGUUGCCUGACUCUUAACUUCAGUCAUUACCUAAAUGUCUGUCGUUAACUAAAACUUCUGUCAUUAGUUGAUUUUUUCCACACACUAAUGCGAGUCUGACUGAUGGACCAUGGGAGCGCUCAGGGUCUCUCUGAGGGAGACAACAACAACAAAUUUAUUAAAUUUGUGAGGUCCAUGCCUUUACACAAAAUACCAUAAAACAUUAUUAAAAGAUAAACCAGAAAGAUUAUAAAAGUAAGCUAAAAUUCAUGCCAUGUUGUCCCAGCAAGGAAACUACCCAAAAAACCCCACCAUUCAAGGAAGAAGGUUCGGCAACAGGUUAGGAGAGCAAUGGGAGGGACCUCACCAUUUCAUCCAGGAACCAUACCCUAGUUUUCAUAGCCUUCACCACAAAGACCGCUACCACGUGAGAAAUCCGUGGAUCAGCGUCUACCAGUAAAAACUUUACUUGGUCCUCUCUGAGGGAGACAGAAUUCACAGCUUGACUCAUGAAACAGCAAGCUGCAGAGUGAAAGAGACCAUGGAAGAAGCAUUGUUGCAUCAGGUUUUAUAGCAUUAGACACAUUAGUGAAGGUCAGAUCUCUCAAUUAUUCGCUUGCUAUUUUAUUUAAUGCAUUUCAUAUCCCUCCAUUUUCUCCAAGAUCAAGGUGACGUACAUGGUGCUCCCCCUCCUAAAUUAACCCCCACAACAACCCUGUGAGGUAGGUUAGGCUAAGAGGUGGUGACUGGCCCAAGGUCACUCAGCGAGCUCCAUGGCUGAGUGGGGAUUUGAACCCUAGUCUCUCAGGCCUGGUCUGACACACUAACCACUAUACCACUCCAAUGCUCAGUGUGUUUGCUGUUAGAAGGCCUUCCUCCAUUACUACAGGUGAACGGGAAAUGUUGCAGCUGAGACCUUAAUCUAAACAUUAUCUAGGCUGGAAGCUAUUUACUGCUUCACCUGUGCUGAUGUGAUGCCCUUUUCCUCAGAAGACUGUGUUGGCCAUGGUGGCAUCUUCUGGAGCAGGGCUAGGCAACCCUUUUUCUCUUGAGAGGUUCAUUCUCUCCAGGAUUAUCUAGUUGAGGGCCACGAGCCAGGAGCAGAAGAAUUCUGGAUUAACUAAUCUGGAAUAAAGAUCACCUGCUUCACUUUUCAUUAUAGCUUACUCAGACUUGAAUUGCCAGUCCUAUGCAAAUCUAUUCAAAAUAAGCCCCCACCAGCCAGGAUGGAGGCACACACACAUAUAUAUCAAGCAGAUGUGGAACUGAGAACUGAAUUUAAGAAUGGCAAAAUGGGGAACUGAAAGAAACCAGCAGUGACAGAUUUGCCCAUCCCUAACACACACACACACACAGAGAGAGAGAGAGAGAGAGAGAGAGAGAGAGAGAGAGGGGGGGGGGGGGAGAAGGAAGGCUAUCAAUUUGUUCUUUAUUUUUUAAAAUCCAUUUCUCUUUAUCAAAUAAAAUAACUAUGCCCUUCCAAAUGUUCUGAAACUACAGGGUGGGGGGAGGCUUAGCUCAGUGGCAGAGCAUCUGCCUUGAAUGCAGAAGUCCCCAAAUUCAGUCCCUGGCAUCUCCAGGUAGGGCUGUGAGAGGUUCCUGCCUGAAACCAUGGAGAGCUGCUGCCAGUCAGUGCAGGGCAUGAGCAGGAAAGAAGGACCUCUGAUGGGACCUUCUGGAGCAGCUUCAGGAGACAUCUGGGUCCAUUUGUGUCCAUAGCACCUUCACACAAGAGAGAUAUUUAUUUUAGUCAGAGCAUUUGCAGCUCACUCUUCAGCCAAAAAGGCUCCCACAGCUGUUUACAUACGAACAAAACAAGACCAUCCCUACAAUUAAAAGACAUGACACACAAGGGAAAAGGGACAAGGAGGAAAGAGGAAGAUCAGAAUCACAACUUGGGCAUCCAUUUCUAAACGGCUGUUCCAGAAAUGACCAGCUGGUCUAGGAAGUGCCUGAUGGAGCUGGGCUUUCAGAAAGCUGAUGGAAGGACCCCUCUGCUUCCCAUCUCUCCCACAGAGGCAACCCUGAUGGGGUUGGCCUACCAUAGCAGAGUCGGUGAAGUGAGUCCUGCUUUCUGUAUUCUUCACUCCCUCAGCAAGCCCCCUGUGUGUGCUCACGCUCAGACCCCCUUCCCAACAAGAGGUAUUUUCCCCCCUCGGUGGUGCUGGUAGGCUUGUCAAAGGCUGACCUGAGCAAAAGGUUAGUUAGCUGAGUGGAGGCCAAAGGGUUGCUGGGUGAAGGGAAUUGCGGGGCUGGGGUGGGGGGAGGAAUUGUGAAAGGACCGGGCUGCGGUGUAGACGGCACAUUGAUUAACGAAGCCCCACCAAAGCAGUUCCAUUGCCAACGACCUGCUUAAUUCACAAAACUCUUAAUUGUUCCAGAGUUGGUUCAGUAUUCCUUCUCCCCCCAACUCCUCAUACAAAGAUGCCAUUGUGUGUCGUGGUGAUGACAGCGUUGUUUUUUGGGCCAGAGAGAGAGAAAGUGAAGAAAGAAAACUCUUGCCGGGGGGGGGGGGACGUCUCCCAACAGGGUGAAGAGGUUUAAAUCAGCUUAGCCCAAAUGCCAAUUAAUAAGGAAGAGGAUUAGCCUCUGAGAUCUAUGGAAUAGAGCAUCAUUGUAUUCCUGGGAGGCUGUGGAAUUUUAUUUCCCUUUCCUACAACUUGGCUGCGCUCGUAUUUUCCUCCCCAACAACAGCCAACUGCUUUUCUUGACCUCAUGUAGCUUAUGGAGUUGGAGCCACAAUGUGCCUCUGUGGGUUCUGCCAUGGUCCAGUCUAAUCAUUUAUAUGGUUCUGCAGUCGUUUACCUGGGGAUGAUGGGAACUGUAGUCCAGCACACCUGGAAGGCACCAGCAAGUUGAAUGCAGAUUCAUCUUCUUCACACGGGACUUAGUUGAACUAUGGAACUCUCAGCCACUUGAGGGAGUGAUGGCCAGCAAACUGGAUAGCUUUAAAAGAAGGCUAUGCUCUGACUUUGCAGUUAGAGGAAGCAGUUCCUCCGAAUCCCAUUUGCUGGAAACUGCAGGGGGGCAGAGGGCAGCCACAGGCAUCUGGGCAGCCACUGUGAGAACAGGAUGCUGGACUAGAUGGGCCAUUGGCCUGAUCCAGCAAGCUCUUCUUAUGUCCUUAACCCUAUUUUAAAAAGAACUUUAUGCUAGAGAUCUGUGAAUAUAUGUGUGCAUUUUGUCCUCAAAGAAGGAUCCAAAUAUUGCAUGGCGGAGAGCCAAACUCUGUGCAGAAUGCCAUUAUGAGAGUGAAUUUUAUUUUCUGUUAUUUUGCAUAGAUUUAUUUGGCUUCUGGGAGACUGCAGAGAGGCUUUGCAAGCUGGACAGUUCCAAGCGUGUCUCUUAAUAUUUGUUGCUACAGCAUAAUGACCCUAAGGCUCAUAUUCCAUCCCUCUCUUUACACUGGAUGACUGAUGAAGCUCCUAAACUCCACUGGCUAGUGUAGCAUUGCUUCCCCUCGCUGAUAGCAGGCCUGGCUGAACUCUUAAAAAGAGCCACCAUCCAACUUGAUCCACUGGGGACUGAACCUUGGAAAGCCUUCAGCAUGUGCUCUGUGGACUGAUCCGUGAAGCUGACAUGUUCUGAGUCAGGCAGUUGGCAGCUGCUUUGAGGCAGAGAGAGAGAGAGAGAGAGAGAGAGAGAGAGAGAGAGAGAGAGGAAGGAAAAAAACUCUUACCCAGUCACUUUAACUGGAGACAGGGCCGGACCACUCGUGAGGCAGUGGCCUCAGAAGAAGAAGAAGAAGAGUUUGGAUUUUAUAUCCCGCUUUAUCACUACCCUAAGGAGUCUCAAAGCGGCUAACAAUCUCCUUUCCCUUCCUCCCCCACAACAAACACUCUGUGAGGUGAGUGGGGCUGAGAGACUUCAAAGAAGUGUGACUGGCCCAAGGUCACUCAGCAGCUGCAUAUGGAGGACUGGGGAAUCGAACCUGGUUCACCAGAUUACGAGUCCACUGCUCUUAACCACUACACCACACUGGCUCUCCUCAGAACAGCAUGCUCCACACAGUUGGGAGAGCAGCAGAUCUGCCUCUUGCGCUUGUCGGCCUAUUCUUCCUUUAUGGAGGUGCCCCAGCCUAGCAUUUUUUGCUUUGCCUCUAGCAGGAAAAUUUCCUGGGCUGGCCCUGACAGGAGACUUCAGAGAUACAGCCUGGGACUUCCCACUGAACUAUGGGUUCUGACAUACGAUGAUGCCUUUGACCUGGUCUACACAUAUGAAAGAGCAUAGUUUUCAGUGUUCCCGUAAGAGGAAAACCUGCUCAGCAGGAAGCAGGCUAGGUUCUCUCUCCCUGGUGUGCUAGUACUCUACUUGCAGGGAUUUUAUACAGGGGAAAUGGCACCUCGGCUUGCACUGGUGCCAGCCUAGUCUACCACUUCAAAUUUUCACUGUCUUUCCCUACCCCUGCAUAUGUUCACGGGGCCUUGUACUGAGUCAGGCACUGCGAGCUGAAGAGAUGCUAGGAAUUGUAAGAGAAGCAUACACUGGGUCACUAAAGUUAUGGCCCCCUUCCCUUCAGAACAAGUCCCAUUGCAUGUGGCAUAAAAGUAACGCAAAAGAUUUUGGCUCCAUUCUGUUAGAGCAGAUCCAGCUUGGUGGUGUUAUGGGAAAGUUGUGUGUCCACUAAAACAGCACAUCUAAGGGCUCAUCCACACUUCUGCUUGUGCGUUGCCAAGGAAGCAUGGGUCCAAGCAGUUUUCCUCUUGCCCCCUUCCUUUCCAAGGGAAAACCUGCUCUUUAGCAAUAGAUCGGAACAACUGACAAUGGAGGGGAAAGGUGAAUUGCUGUUUGUUCCAACUGUGUGUUAAAGAGCGGUUUUCCCUGGGGGGAAAGGAGCAGGAGAAGAGGAAGUGUGGAUAAGCCCUAAGAUUUGGAACGCUGCAUCCGCAUUGCAUAUUUGGGAUGAUUUCAAAGUGGUGUAAGUGUCAUGGCUUCCGCUGCCCACCAAAUCGAUGUGACAUCAUUCUGUAAGUCCUCGUGGGGCUGGGAAAUAAGAACAUAGGAAGACCUGGCUACUGGCCCAAAGGCUCAUCUAGUCCAGCAUCCAGCUUCCCACACUGGCCAACCAGAUGUCCAUGGCAAGCCCACAGGCAGGACCUGAUUGCAAUAGCAGCGCCCUCUCCACUUCUGAUUCUCAACAACUUGCAUGGAGGUAGUGCACAGCCAUCAUGGCUAGUAGCCAUGGAUAGCCUUAUAGAUAAACUCAGAAUUAUAGAGUUGGAAGGGAUCCAAAGGGUCAUCUAGCCGAACCCCCUGCAAUGCAGGAAUCACAGCUAAAGAACCCUUGGCAGAAUCACCCUCCACCCAUUUGUCUAAUCCCCUUGUAAAGCUGUCUUGAGUUGCUUUACAACUACAUCCUGUGUCACUGAAUCCCACAGAUUAACUGUAGAAGCUCUUCCUGUUUUUUUGGUCCUGAACCUUCCCACGUCCAGCUUCAUUUGGAUGUCCCCGUUGGGUUUUAGCAUUACAAGAGAAGGGGAGAGAAAGAGAAGAGGAAAGAGCAUUGAGGCUCUCCUGUAAAAAGCACCCAUGCCACUAGUGCAUGAAUGGCCAGAACAUCUUUGCCCAAGAUGUUGGAGGAGAUGGCUCGGCUGUUGUAGCUGCCGUGUAAUUUAUGACAGGGGUUUGCGCCAUUGUCUGGGUCCCUCCUGUAUUUUCGUGAGGGCUCUGCCUCUCUUCCCAGACCCCUGCUGCGCCCUGGCUACUGUACGGUUGCUAAGGGACAUGUCAUGUUGUCUAUCACUAUGCGGGGAGGUGGGGACGGCCUUCAGUGGGCCCAUCUGGAGCCUGAGGCCUACAUCCCCACAGGCGGGACUGAUCGUGGCCCCAAGAAGUACAGAGGGCCUGGGAAUGGGACAUUUAGAUUCCCCUCAAGUUCAUGGCCACCGGAGGCCUUUGGUUCUCAAGGGUGGGUGAGGAGGGGUGAAGAGUGGAUUGUUGGCUGUUCUGCUCAGGGUUUUCUGGGUUUUCCCCCCCUCCCCCCCUCAAUUCCGUCCGUAUCCUCGCCUGCAUACUGAUCCCCCCGGCCUAUUCUCCUCCCGACAUGUGCCCACAUAAAUAAAUUACCCCCACUGCUUCCAUUUUGCGGAACAAUUGGCCCCCUAAACUCUAUUCAUCUCCAGACAGCGCCUAUUAUUCCCCCGAUUAAAGCCAACAGAAUGGUUUGCAAGGGAUACUGUUAACUCUGUCAAACUGUAAAUAAGAUGCUAAUAUAAAAAUAAAUAAGGGAGAGUGAGAGAGAGAGGGAGGGAGUUGGUUAGCACGGAGGGCUUGCGAGGUGGGGAGAAAACGGAGAAGGGACAAAGAGAGGGAGACUUCUGCGCCUGCCGCCUUGGGAAAGCAAAUGAAUCUGUAAUGACCACUGUGUACAAACUGCAGGAGAUAAUAUAAUGGCAGCCCUUGCGAGCACUUGGGGCUGUUUUCACCGAGGCCUGUUUAUUAUGAAAGCCUCAUUGAGACCUUGGUUGUAUAAAUGGCAAUGUUGCCAGUGGGGACCUUCUCCCUAUCCACUCCUCCUCAGCCUGAUUCGCCACCUCUCCAGAUAACGCCUGGCAAAGGCUGGGGUUUUAAAGGAUUGGGGAAUUGUUUCCUUUUUUCAUUUUGACUCCAUGCACCCAAUUCCUAGCAUUUAAUACCACACGAUACACUGGAAUGAAGAAUUAUAGGCAUUUGACUGAUCAGUUGAACAUCAUGGAUUUUCUUCCGCAACCAGAAGGGCAAGAUUUCAGCUGGGGCUCCUCCUGCCUCCUUCCACCCUUUGGGACUCCCUCUUCUGCUCAGGGGUGGGAGGAGAAACUAAGUUCAGUUUACAUUCAAAGGCAAUCCUACAAAAUUUGCACUUUCUGAACGAAUGCAUAAAAACCAGAAAUGCAGCCAUCCCCCAUCCAAAUUCACACUUCUAUGAAUUUUGCAACAAAGCCCUCCAUCCCAAGUAAUUUGUUGUUUUGUUUAUUAACUAAACUUAUUUGUUUAUUGUCACGCAAGGGUCUCCAAGUGAUUUACAGUGCAUAAGAUCUAAAACAAUAAAAAGGGAAGUAUCAUAUUGCAUGCAACGUAUUCGGAAAACAGAAACAAAAUACCAGCCCCCUCCCAAAAAAGUAAUAGAAACUAUUAGCAACAAUAAACACAGCAAUGCUCCCACCUACUUACCAGCAGAGAAACAACAUCUAAGGAUCAACCCCCAGACCAUUCACAUUAACCCAUCUCCCCCUUCUCAUCUCCCCAAACAACCCAGAAGUCCAGUGUCAAGGCCAGCUGCUGUAAAUCGGUGGUGGGUGGGUCUUCCAGGGAUUGUCUGGCAUCUCUCCUUUCAGUGGAAUUGGAGGUUUUACAACAGAGGUUGGGUGGCCUUUUAUCAGGGAUUUGUUAGUUGUGGUUCCUGCAUCUGCAGGGGCUUGGACUAGAGCAGCCUUUCUCAACCUGUGGGUCCCCAGAUGUUGUUGAACUACAACUCCCAUCACCCCUAACUAGCAAGGCCAGAGCUCAGGGAUGAUGGGAGUUGUAAUCCAACAACAUCUGGGGACCCACAGGUUGAGAACCGCUGGACUAGAGGAUCCUUGAAGUCCCUUCCAAUUCAGGGAGAGUAGCAGCAAAAGCCAACCAGGAAGAUGGUUCAAGGGUUUACCUGCUCUUCAGUUGCUCCUGUUGUAACGUACAAAGAUGCAUUAUAUUUGGGGGAAUUGCUUUGCACUUGUGUGUGUAUAUUAGGAGGAAUCUCCACUGCUGAUGAAUUUUGGUGGUGACUUUUUAAGAAAGCAAACACUUGCAGACCAAUAUGGAAAUGUUGGCGAAAGGGAUUGCAAAAAUGAGAAACUGGAAUGGAUGGAUUUGCCACCCCUACUUCUGUUCUUAAGUCCACAUUAAUCUAAAGCGUCUAGACAGGCACGCAUGAAAAAUGGUCAGAACUAUGUUCAUCAAGCAUUUAAUUAAUUAAUACACAUACCCCCACCCUUUCCCCAAAGAGCUCAAGGUGGCCUAUACAGUUCUUCCCCUUCUCCAUUUUAACCUCACAACAAUCCUGUGAAGUAGGUUAGGUCGAGAGGGCUAGCAGCCACUGACACCCUUCUUCUCCAUGAAUUUGUCUAAUCCUCUUUUAAAGCCAGCCAAGUUGAUGGCCACCACUGCUUCCCGUGGGAGCAAGUUCCAUAGUUGAAAUUAUAUGCUGUGUGAAGAAGGAUUUCAAUUCAUAUGUCCUGUUCUGAUGAAGGUAGGAUUUUGCCCAGUGGUCGAUGGCUCCCCAUUCAGUAGUGAGGGACCAAGACUGCAAUCUGGGAGAACUGACAGUGGGCAAAACCUGCUCUUUGUCCUGGAAACCAAAGGCAAGUUUAGAAACCUUGAGGAACCCUGGUGUACUCUUCCUGUAUCAGUAGCAUCUCCUUAACUCCUGGGAAGGAAAGCGUUGCCACGUAGUGGGGGCAGAAUAUGACCUCAACCAACAGGAACAUGCCUCUGUGGACACUUCCUUUCCUGCUGUGCCUUUGCAAACCUGCAGAGGUGGAGAAUCUGUGGUCCUCCAGCUGCUCUUGAACUCCUUACACCCUCCUGCCCCAACCAGCUUUGUCUGUGGGCAGGAACAGAGGCAGUUUUAGCCCAACAGUAUCUCGGUGGCCACCCCACUUUGCAGGCACUUCCCUCCCCGUAAAGACAGGUUCAUCACCAGCUGAUAAAGAAACAAGACAUCACAAUUAUAUGCAGGUUGUCCAUGAAAGGGAAUUAUUAAGCGUUGCUCGUUCCAAUGACUGCAGCCAGAAAGAGUCUGAGAAAUAAGCCCCUUCAUUAUAAUUAUUCGGAUUUGCCCUCCAUCAAAGGCUGGGUGGGGGGAUUGAGCCUUUUAAUCUGACCACAUGCUUCUGCUUUGGGGAUCUCGACUGGUUUGUACCACCUGCUUCCAACUCCAUGUGCCUUUUGGUAAAAACCUUGGCAAUUUUAUAAGGGAGGCAUGGUGUGUGUGUGUGUGUGUGUGUGUGUGUGUGUGUGUGUUCUCCCCUGUUUGUUUGUUUUUUAAAUAAGAAAAUAAUGUCAUUUAAUUUGAAAAAAGUAAUAAAUAAGGCUAGGAUGUGGCUAGUUAGGUGCAAAUGCAUUUGCUCCUGAGAGGACACAGUUCUGUCACUGCCGACCAUACCCUUUGCCACCUCAGCAUCCUCCAGAUGUUUUGGAAUUCAGCUCCCAUAAGACCCUGCAUCCUAAAGCUGGGCUGAUGGGAGUUGUGGUCUAAAACCAUCUGGAGGACACCAGGAUGGCAAAGACAUAGGUCAGUCUUUGCCAUUCUGCUUUCCUCCAGAUAGAAAUAUCAAUAGUAGAUGUUUACAGCUGGGCUAGGAUUUUAGUGUGGGAUACAGGUGUGCAAUUGUGGAAAGUCUAGAUGGCAUCAAAGUACCAUCUGGAUCAUUUGUGGCCUGCCAGAUACUUAUGAUUCAAGCCUGGAGGCCUUCAUACGAGGACUGAAAUAGUUUCACCCAUUCAUCUAACUUCGUUGUUCCAAUAUGUAUGUUCUCGUCUGCAUCCUACCCCCCUGGGAUUCCAUAUUAACUUGGAGAAAUUCUAAAAUUGAUUUUUGCCAAGGAUUCUUGAAUACCAGUUCUUGGGAAGCCAUAGAAGGGGAGAGGGCUCUGGUGCUCAAAUCCUGUUUGCAGGUUUCCCACAGACAUCUCGUUGACCAUUGUGAGAACAGGAUGCUGGACUAAAUGGGCCAUUGGCCUGAUAGCCAGCAGGCCCUCCCUAAGUUCUCACGGAAAUGUUACCUUGGUACGGUAGUUUCUAAACUCACUCACACAUCCCUCUCUGUCCUCCCAUCCAGACUAGCAAGUUGCAUUAUCAGAGUUCACAGGCAAAAACUUUGAAGGAAGAUGAAUGAACAGGGGAAAACUUUGAAGGAGAGUUUGAAGCAAGACUAGUGGCCUGGGGAAAGGGUGUGUGGGGCUUGGACGUGUCACAAGUGCCAAACUGAGAGUCCUGGAAGUUCCCAACCCUGUUCGAUAAAUGGUCCACUGGCUGCAUCCAGCAUGAUACACACACAAGCGGUGUAAGGGCUUAACCUCCCUCAGUGUUGUUAUUUGAAACAAAAGUGGUAUGGCCUAGAGAUGGCUUUGAAUUUGGUGGCAGGGGCACCAAACCGAAAUGAACAGUCUGUUACAUAAAUUUGUUUUUAAAUCUCUUUCUCUUGCCUCCCCCCCUUCCUCCUUGUCUCCCUCAGGUGGAUGCAGUAUAGAACGACAAAAGCGAUUCUGCAGCAGAUUCUUGCAGCACAACUGCUGAAAACGAUUCCUGUGAUGUCCUUGCAUGUGCUUCAUGAUGGCCAAGCCUGUUUCUUUUUGUCCUUUUUAAUUGGACCAGGACUAUGACGACUUCAAAAAUGCAGCGCUAUUGAAGCAAAGAGGCUUAUGAGUGUCAUUAUUUUUGUAGACCUUGCCUUCGUUGUCGGCGGGGUGUGUGGUUUAAAAGGGG
Non-coding RNA from Podarcis lilfordi (Lilford's wall lizard), 29982 nucleotides. Lineage: Eukaryota; Metazoa; Chordata; Lepidosauria; Squamata; Lacertidae. The record is from the annotation of a GenBank genome assembly.